GAGACGAAAAAGCCUUCAGAAACCACAGACAAAAGAGCAAAACUAAAAAACCAAUGCAAAAUAAUGGGCAACAAGAUCGCCCGCACAACGCAAGUUUCUGCAUCAGAGUAUUACCUCCACGAUUUGCCCUCCUCUUACAAUUUGGUCCUCAAGGAGGUGCUCGGCCGCGGCCGCUUCUUUAAGUCUAUUCUCUGCAAGCACGACGAGGGUUUGGUCCUCGUUAAGGUUUAUUUCAAGCGCGGCGAUCCUAUCAAUCUCAGAGAGUACGAGCGCCGCCUCGAACACAUCAAGGAAACCUUCCUUGCCCUUGACCACCCCCACGUCUGGCCCUUUCAGUUUUGGCAAGAAACAGAUAAAGCAGCUUAUCUUUUGAGGCAAUAUUUCUUCAAUAAUCUUCAUGAUCGGUUGAGUACUCGGCCUUUCCUCAGUCCAGUGGAGAAAAAAUGGUUGGCUUUUCAGUUACUUCUUGCUGUGAAACAGUGCCAUGAUAAGGGUAUUUGCCAUGGUGACAUUAAGUGUGAGAAUGUGCUGGUCACUUCCUGGAAUUGGCUUUAUCUGGCUGACUUUGCAUCAUUUAAACCAACUUACAUUCCCUAUGAUGAUCCUUCGGAUUUCUCAUUCUUUUUUGACACUGGAGGAAGGAGGCUCUGUUAUCUUGCACCUGAGAGAUUUUAUGAACAUGGAGGUGAGAUGCAAGUUGCUCAGGAUGCACCAUUAAGGCCCUCCAUGGACAUCUUUGCUGCAGGGUGUGUAAUUGCAGAGCUUUUCCUUGAGGGUCAGCAACUGUUUGAACUCUCCCAGCUUCUUGCUUAUCGCAGAGGACAGUAUGAUCCUAGCCAACAUCUUGAAAAGAUCCCAGAUUCUGGAAUCCGAAAGAUGAUUCUUCAUAUGAUCCAGUUGGAACCAGAGGCACGACUUUCUGCUGAAAGCUACCUGCAAAAUUAUGCUGCUGUCGUGUUUCCGACCUACUUCUCACCAUUUCUACAUAAUUUCUACUGCUGCUGGAAUCCUCUUCAUUCUGAUAUGAGGGUUGCGAUGUGCCAGAGUGUUUUCCAUGAAAUACUUAAGCAAAUGUUGAGUGAUAGAACCAGAGAGGAAAUAGAAACUGGACUAGUGACAUCCGUGAAUGGCAUGAGUGGUAAACUAGCGCUAGAGAUGGUUGAAAAACCAAACUUGGACUUGGCAAUGGACUCAAGAAAGAGAGAAAAGACAGAGAAGGGUUUCGUUCGUGAUCAAUACAAACUUCUCGGUGAUAUCAGUACCCUUCUUGGGGAUGUAAAACAAAGUAAUGACUACUCUGGUGUGAAGUUGGGGCCUGAGAGUACACCCAAUUCUGUAUUUUCCCAGGACAUCAAGCAAUGUGGCAUGCAGUCACCUGGCGAGCUUCUUCAAGCAAUCUCCAAUGCAUUUAGGAAAAAUGAUCAUCCCUUUCUGAAAAAGAUCACAAUGGAUGAUUUGAAUUCAGUGAUGUCUGAGUAUGACAGUCAAUCAGAUACCUUUGGCAUGCCUUUUUUACCAAUACCUGAGGAUGGUAUGAAAUGUGAAGGUAUGGUUCUGAUUGCCUCUCUCCUCUGUUCCAGCAUACGCAAUGUCAAAUUGCCGCAUUUAAGGAGAGGGGCUAUACUUUUGCUGAAGUCUUCAUCAUUAUAUAUUGAUGAUGAAGACCGCUUGCAGCGUGUACUACCAUAUGUUAUUGCUAUGCUUUCUGAUCCAGCAGCAAUAGUGCGUUGUGCUGCACUGGAGACUUUGUGUGACAUUUUACCAUUAGUUCGUGAUUUUCCUCCUAGUGAUGCUAAAAUAUUCCCUGAAUAUAUUCUUCCAAUGCUUUCCAUGCUUCCUGAUGAUCCAGAGGAGAGUGUGAGAAUAUGUUAUGCUAGCAAUAUAGCUAAGCUGGCACUAACUGCUUAUGGUUUCUUGAUUCACUCAAUAAGCUUGAGUGAGGCGGGUGUUCUUGAUGAAAUGACUUCAGCACGGAAGUCACUGGCAUCAUCCAAUGAGACAUCUGGACAGCUGCAGAGAGUAAAUAAUAAUUCCCAGCUUGGACAAUUGAGGAAAUCCAUUGCUGAGGUUGUUCAAGAACUUGUGAUGGGUCCAAAACAAACUCCAAAUAUCAGGAGAGCACUCCUGCAGGACAUUGGCAACCUGUGCUGCUUCUUUGGCCAGAGACAGAGUAAUGACUUUCUUUUACCUAUCCUUCCUGCAUUUCUCAAUGAUCGGGAUGAGCAGCUAAGGGCAUUAUUUUAUGGAAAGAUUGUAUAUGUCUGCUUCUUUGUGGGACAAAGAAGUGUGGAGGAGUAUCUUCUACCCUACAUUGAGCAGGCUUUAAGUGAUCAAACUGAGGCUGUCAUUGUUAAUGCACUGGACUGUUUGGCGAUCCUUUGUAAACGUGGCUUCUUGCGGAAGCAGACACUGCUUGAAAUGAUAGAACAUGCCUUUCCAUUGUUGUGUUAUCCAAGUCAAUGGGUCAGAAGGUCAGCCGUCACUUUCAUUGCAGCCAGCAGUGAGAACUUAGGUGCAGUGGAUUCCUAUGUUUUCCUUGUACCAGUUAUACGCUCUUUCCUUCGCAGACAACCUGCUUCCCUAGCUUCUGAGGAGUCUCUGCUUUUAUGUUUGAAGCCUCCUGUCUCAAGGCAGGUAUUUAACCAGAUUUUGGAAAAUGCUAGAAGUUCAGACAUGUUGGAGAGACAGAGAAAAAUAUGGUACAAUUCAUCAGCACAGUCCAAACAAUGGGAAACUACUGAUGUACUCAAAAGAGAGGAUGGGGAACUAAAUUCAAUAAAGAGUUGGUCUGACAAGAAAGUGGGUCCUGAGACUCAAAAACAUGAUGUUGAUGCAUUGGAGCAGCUGGAGGAUGGUGAGGCAAAGUUGAGAGCUAUGGGCUUUGUGAGCAGUGUUUCUAGUAUGGUCGACAUUCGUGAUCCUCUAUGCCCAGAAAAGUUACAUUUCUCUGGCUACAUGUCUCCACAGGUUGGUGGUGUUAAUAGCUUCAUACAUGAUAAGUCCUCAGAGGGCAUACCUUUGUAUUCUUUUAGCAUGGACAGGCGAGCAGUAAAAAUUCCUCCUGCAGCUUCCGAUUCUUCAUUGCGAAUGAACUCCCUUGGAAUUGGUUCAUCUUACAUUCCUUGGAUGGAUCCAGUGAAUAAAUCGUUUAGCUUGGCCAGUUCAGUUCCUGCACCUAAGCUGGUUUCUGGAUCAUUCAACAUCAGUAAUGGAUCUAAACAGUUCUACAGAGUAGUACAUGAACCAGAGAGCAGGGAAAAUGAUCAAACAACAUAUGUUAAUAGUAAAUUUCAGGAUAUGGGAUUAUCUGGUGGAACAAAGGGAGGUUCUUUUACGGUGGAAGAUGCUUCUGCUCCAACUGAUCUAACUGGAUUGCCAUCCUUUUCUCGGACCACAUCAAUACCAGACUCAGGCUGGAGACCUCGUGGGGUGUUGGUAGCACACCUGCAGGAGCACCGUUCUGCUGUCAAUGAUAUUGCAAUUUCAAAUGAUCAUAGCCUGUUUGUGAGUGCAUCUGAUGAUUCAACUGUCAAGGUGUGGGAUUCAAGAAAGUUGGAAAAGGACAUCUCGUUUAGAUCAAGGCUGACUUAUCACCUGGAAGGGAGCCGAGCACUUUGCACUGUAAUGCUGCGUAACUUUCCUCAAGUAGUAGUUGGAGCAUGCGAUGGCUCGAUGCAUGUAUUUUCUGUUGAUCACAUAUCCAGGGGCCUUGGCAAUGUUGUUGAGAAGUAUUCAGGUAUUGCUGAUAUAAAAAAGAAGGAUAUUAAGGAAGGUGCAAUACUUAGCCUUUUGAACUACACUGCUGAUAACAGUGCUAGUCAGAUUGUUAUGUACAGUACUCAAAAUUGUGGAAUCCAUCUCUGGGAUGUUAGAGCAAAUGCAAAUGCCUGGACAUUAAAAGCUGUUCCUGAGGAAGGUUAUGUGUCUUCUCUGGUAACAGGCCCGUGUGGGAAUUGGUUUGUCUCAGGAUCUUCUAGGGGUGUGCUUACACUAUGGGAUCUAAGGUUUCUUAUACCUGUGAACUCAUGGCAGUAUUCUCUUGCAUGCCCCAUAGAGAAGAUGUGCCUUUUUGUUCCUCCUCCAAAUGUCACUGUAUCUAAUACUGCACGGCCCCUGAUAUAUGUUGCCGCUGGUUGCAGUGAAGUUUCUUUAUGGAAUGCUGAGAAUGGGAGCUGUCACCAGGUACUGAGGCUGGCAAAUUAUGACAAUGAUACUGAAAUGUCUGAGACACCAUGGGCCUUAGCCAGACCAUCCAGUAAGACAAACUCUAAACCGGAUAUAAGGCGGAAUGUCAAUCCAAAGUAUAGAGUUGAUGAGCUAAGUGAUCCUCCUUCCCGUCUUUCUGGUAUCCGUUCAAUGCUUCCCUUACCUGGGGGUGAUUUGUUGACUGGAGGUACUGACUUGAAGAUACGUCGAUGGGAUCAUUGCAGGUUGUGGCAUGAAUUCUCCUUUUAUCCUAUGUACUGUUCAUCAUAUGGCAGUUAACUAACUCUGUUUAUUUAUUAUUGUAGCCCGGAACGAAGUUACUGUGUUAGUGGGCCAAAUUUGAAUGGAGUUGGAAAUGAUGAUAUAUUUGAAAUAAGAUCAAGUUUUGGAGUGCAAGUUGUGCAGGAGACAAAAAGAAGACAUCUAACUACCAAGUUGACAGCAAAGGCAGUUCUAGCAGCAGCUGCUACUGAUUCUGCUGGCUGCCACAGGGAUUCCAUCCUCUCUUUGGCUUCUGUCAAGUUGAACCAGAGACUUUUGAUUUCAAGCAGUAGAGAUGGGGCUAUCAAGGUUUGGAAGUAAAUAAUGUAAGCAUACAAGUGAUUUAUUGUACAUAUAAUGUUUGUUACAAUUGUAUAUAGUAUAUUAGGGCCAGGAAGUUAAAAUUCAGCAUUUUGAUGCUGAAUUUUAUUCUUAACAAUUUGCUUAUACAAUUUCACCCGUCCCUCAAGAAAAGGAAAGAAAAAGCGUCAUGGAUUUGUACAGUGAUGAGUUACAUACUUUAUAAUUUAAUCACUGGAUCAGAAAAGCUAUGAUAUCUAGGUGGUUGUAAAUUAUUUCUCCCAAUGCAUAUUGUACUUUUAUCUUCAGGGCGAGAUGCCUCAUUUUCUGUUGAUCUGGACCUUAUUAUCUCAUUUUUGAGUUAGUAUUGAUUCCCGGAACCAUUUAAUGGUCAAUAAUGGAGUAAUGUGGAUGGUCUGUUUUCAUUUGAGAACUGUGGGUUUGGACUUUGUGGGAUAUCCUUGAAGCCCUUGCUAUGUUGGUAUUCUUGGACAGUAAGGCAAUGAUAAAAAAUUCCUUAUUUUGAAGUCAUGCUUUAAUUCUAUGGUUCAGGCUUCAGCAGAAUAAGAACAUUUUACCCUAAUAAAUAUGAUAUAUUUUUAAAUUAUUUCAAAAAGUACCCUUUGACUCUUAUGCCACUCCAGCUGAUCCCAUGUGCCUAUCAGAAGAAGAAUCGGAUCAGCUAUUAUUAGAUGGCUGGUGGAAUUUAGCCUGGGCAAAUAAUGUCUGGCAUUUGGUUCUCUUUCCACAUAAGCCAUUUGUUGGUUUUUUAUUUUUUUUAUAUGGAAUUUGGCUUCUGUCUUGCUAUUUUUUGAGUGUUGCAUCUCACCAUUUCGUAUUUAAUUUUGUGUUUUCAUAUAUGAUUUUGAAUGUUGCAUUAUUACUACAUAUAUAGAUGAUAAAUAAAUCAUGCAACAUUGUACUUAGUAAUCAAUGCAUUCAUUAACUUAGAAUGAUAGGAUGGUUGAUUACCAAGGAUAGCAUUGCUUGCUGAAGUUAUCUGGUAAGUGUACUGAGCUAUAAGAGAAGUUGUCAAGUAGAAUAUGGUUAUAGGUGAUGAUAGUAGUUUCUUUAAAGUUUUAACGAAGUUUAGACGUAAUUAUGAAAUUGGUUAUGCACUUUAUUUGGAUCAGAAGGCCUUAUUUGGUUUUUGGCAUUGAUAUUGUUUUAUGAUGUUACCGUUCUAGCGAGAUAAAUUGUUUUGAGAUGCAUAUUUGAUAUGGAUUUUGAUGUUGGAUCCAAUUCGUACCUUGAUAUACCCUUUUUGGAUUAAGGUUGAGGUUAUAAUUGCUGAUCUGAAGAGAGAUUUAGCAAGUCAGCCUUUUGUGUGGAAUUUCUAGAAUAUAUGCAAUAUUUUCUUUGUCAAAUUCCAAGCUCAGUAUAGUGUAUGUGAACUACGUAUAAUGUAUGUAUAUUGUACAUAUUCAUGUUAAUUCACCACUUAGGACUUGUGAGGCAUGUCUGACAGCUCUAGACACUCUCCAAACUUCUUGUUAUACAUAUUUCACAUAAACCACAGGUCCAUUUACAGUUCCCGACUUCGCAUGGUCAUGAGAGGUAGGUAGCACUUGGAGAUCCAAUAUCUGCAUAUGGAUCCCCAUCGUAUAUCUGCUGAUGGAGAUCGAACAUGAUCUGGUGUUCUGCAGGUGGGUAAGUCAUAACUCUCACAUUCCUUUCCUAUAUUCAUAGGAGACGAUGUGUUGUAAGAAGAGUGGACAAAUAUGAUAUAAUAAAGAAACGUUAUAUUUUGCUUUCAAAUCUCAUAUGGUCAUAGCCGGUUAC
Molecule: unclassified non-coding RNA, 6549 nt
Filed under: Hevea brasiliensis (rubber tree)
Lineage: Eukaryota; Viridiplantae; Streptophyta; Magnoliopsida; Malpighiales; Euphorbiaceae
Source: RNAcentral